CCUACGGGAGGCAGCAGUGGGGGAUAUUGCACAAUGGGGGGAACCCUGAUGCAGCGACGCCGCGUGGGUGAAGAAGCGCCUCGGCACGUAAAGCCCUGUCAGCAGGGAAGAAAAUGACGGUACCUGAAGAAGAAGCGCCGGCUAACUCCGUGCCAGCAGCCGCGGUAAUACGUAGGGGGUAAGCGUUAUCCGGAUUUAUUGGGUUUAAAGGGUGCGUAGGCGGAAUGCCAAGUCAGCGGUAAAAUCGCGGGGCUCAACCUCGGUCCGCCUUUGAAACUGGCGUUCUUGAGUGAGCGAGACGUAUGCGGAAUGCGUGGUGUAGCGGUGAAAUGCAUAGAUAUCACGCAGAACUCCGAGUGCGAAGGCAGCAUACCGGCGCCCAACUGACGCUGAAGCACGAAAGCGUGGGUAUCGAACAGGAUUAGAUACCCGGGUAGUC
RNAcentral lists this ribosomal RNA (439 nucleotides) under uncultured bacterium. RNAcentral's name for it is "partial 16S ribosomal RNA". It matches the Rfam family "Bacterial small subunit ribosomal RNA", at positions 338 to 795 of the family's 1533-position model. The record is from RNAcentral.